UUGAAACUGUUAGCAGCAUGUUGAAGCAGUGUCUUAUUAAUGUGGACUACUCGCAACUGCGUGCGAAGCAGCCCCCCAAGUGCGGCGAGAUCUUCUAUGAAAGUGACAAUGACAGUGAAUACAACAGCUUCCAAUUGGUUUGUUGCCUUUGCGACAUGAAGUACUUUGAUUUCAAGGAUUUCAUGAUGCACAUUCGCAAUGUGCACAUUGACAAGCCACAUAGCUCUAGUAAGGUAGCGGGCGCAUCACCGCACACCGAUGAUGGCGUGGAAUUUCUAUCCGAGGACAUAUCUGAAGAGGAGGACGAAGCAGAGGGCGCGGAAACUGACCCAGUAGACACAAACCCAUUGCGCGUGUGUGCGUUUAGUAAAUUGAGCAGGUGUGCACAGCCUGAACCAGAUAAGAUUUGGCUGCAGGAACUGAGUGAAAAUGAAAAUACUGAGGAAGAUUCUAAUGAUGACGAAACGGCAGCUGACAGUGAAGCAGAAGAGGAAGUGCAGACUGUCUUCAAGCGACAAGCGACAGGCAAGGAAUAUACAUGUGAAUACUGCGCAGGCAAGUAUACCACACUCAAGUACCUCAAAAUGCAUCUAAAAAUGAGUCACCCACAUCCAAAUGGCUACAAGUGUGACGAUUGUUCCGCCACUUUUGAUGUUGAGCGCGCCUUGAAUGCACAUCGACGAAAAAUGCAUACGGAAUUUUGUUGUAAUCUCUGCGGUAAAGUGUACAAAAGUUCUCGCACGCUGCUGAGGCAUAUACAAGGACACUCUGGAGUACGUCAGUACAAGUGUGACUUCGAUAACUGCGGCAAAUCCUUUGUCAGCCAGCAUAAUCUAUCAUCGCAUCGGCGUGUGCACAAUACUGAUCGCAAUUAUGUAUGUGAGCUAUGUGGCUAUCGCUCUCGCUAUCGGGAUGCGUUAAUUGUGCAUCGACGCUCUCACACCGGCGAGAAGCCAUUCAAGUGCCAAAGCUGCACCCGCUGUUUUGCCUCCAAAUCGCUACUCAAUGAACAUCAGGCCAUGCACUCCACAGAGCGUCCCUACAAAUGCGACAAGUGUGAAGCAGCCUUCUCACGCCCCAAGGCCCUGUAUCAUCACAAGCAUCUUCACCUAGGCAUUAAGAAGUUUAAAUGCAAAGUCUGUGGCAAUGCCUAUGCUCAGGCGGCUGGCUUGUCUGCUCAUAUGCGCAGCCACAAAGCACAAACAAUUGCUGGCAAUGAACUCGCUGUAGUCAAUUGAAUCUCUCUGUAGUAUACUGAUUAGUGUUUUAAAAUCCUGUUAAUGUUAUAACGAGAAUAUUAUUAGUGUAGUUGAUCAGAAGUACAAUCCCGUUAAACGUUCUUCCAAUAUGCGAAAGAAAGAAUUGAGAAUAAUUUUCUUUAAUUUAAAGAUUUGGAGAACCAUGGAUGGCAAUGUGGUGCCUGGAUAUCCGCGUUGUCUGCAGUGUCAAAAUUAUCGACGUUGUUCUGUUUUUAGUUCAAGUGUGAACACCGAUAUAAGCAGUAAAAAUAAAUUGAAAAUAU
Drosophila busckii is the source of this 1522-nucleotide RNA transcript. It is a transcript of the gene named zinc finger protein 93, with no coding region annotated. The record is from RefSeq and is a predicted model, not a curated record. NCBI's taxonomy places the organism in Eukaryota, Metazoa, Arthropoda, Insecta, Diptera, Drosophilidae. The transcript has 3 exons.